This 230-nucleotide long non-coding RNA is filed under the name Capsicum annuum. RNAcentral describes it as "long non-coding RNA (CANN_LNC022475)". The record is from RNAcentral. Lineage: Eukaryota; Viridiplantae; Streptophyta; Magnoliopsida; Solanales; Solanaceae.
UCAUGUCAUUUGAUAAAUAUUUCUACGUCAGCAUACUUAAAUAAACGUAGAAUUCAGAUCCUCGUAAUCUUUCACAAUAUUGCGUCAAUAUUGUGUCAAAGAUAUUGAUGAUAUAUCAUUUUGUAUCGGUUCACAAUGCGACAUAACAUUUUGAGAUCUCAUCACUUCAUUAUUUUCAGAUACAUGAACCUCUCAUAAGGUUUCAUGAAGUGGUAUGUUGUAGGCUCUUC